Molecule: long non-coding RNA, 1662 nt
Organism: Pyrus x bretschneideri (Chinese white pear)
Lineage: Eukaryota; Viridiplantae; Streptophyta; Magnoliopsida; Rosales; Rosaceae
Exons: 2
Source: RefSeq, a predicted model, not a curated record
UACCCAUCAUCUUAUGUGCUUUCUAGUUGAUGGGUGUAUGUAGCAAACAUCAGACAAGACGAGGGUGGUCAAUUUUGUGAUCCUUCAGACUUUGAAUCAUCAUCAUCUCCAAUUAGCCAUUUCAUACUUUAGUAUUAUCGUCAGAUAAAAUCACAUUGGUUACCACCUUAAUUAUGAGUUUAAUUAGGUCAUUUGGGUAGUUAACUAUACAUCUCAACUAUUACUAGAGUAAUAUUUUAGCCCAGUAUCUAUUUUGCAAGGUAUGAUUAAUAAACUUUCUUUUUCUUUUCUCGACUUUUUCCUUGAGAAUCAUACCCUUUCCUUUUGUAUGGGAACUAUGUACAAGUUUAGUAAGCCUGGUAAUAGCCACGAUUAGCUGAUGUUUGUCUAUGUUGCACGGAUACCCGGUCAACGUUCCGGACACGGUUAAGACACUGCGGGGGCUGUUUUGUAAAUAUUGAUAUUGAAUUUGUGUUUCUGAGCUAAUACGGAAUUGAAUUUCUGCUUCUGUGGGAAGAUAUGAAAUUCCAUAAAUUGGAAACUGCAAUUCAAUUGCAAAUCAGAAAUUGAAAACUGGAAACUGCAAUCGAAUUUAGAGGUAGGUAGAUGGAAGGAUAGGUAAAUUGAUAGCAAAGCUCAAUCGUUGAAUAUAAUUUGGUUGAAUGAAUGGUAGAUACCCCAGAUUCUUCGUCAAGCAGGGAGAGUUAGAAAGAGAGAGAACAGAGGAGAGAGUAGUUUUCAUUGGCUUCCUAGUUUACUUUGUUGAUGUUCAGUAUUUUCUUUUGGUAGGUUUUGUACUUGCACAGAUUUAAUCUCUCUCUCUCCGUUGGAGUAUUGUUUUUAAUAUAUGUAUUUUGUAAAAUAAUGGCGAUCUCUCUGUUAUGUUGUUUGUUCUGUUUGAAUUUUGUAGAAGCUGAAAGCUGGUUUGAUUGUAUGCUUAUUAAAGAUGUGCUUCCCAUCUCUUCCCAUGGAACUCUAGCCUUUGAUAAGACCCAGCAUGAUUGUUGGGCUUUUGCUUGUUGAAGGUGAUUUUGCUUGAACUUGGUUUCCUAGAAAACUUUUGAAAAUUUACAAGGAUUUGAGCAAAGGCUGAGCCAUAAGUAAUGUUUAUAUGAAUUUGAGCUUGAGAUUAUUUAAUAACAGUCUAAAUAGUUGGGGUUGCAACUCCAACCCCACAAUUAGCUUGAAUGAAUUUCUUCUUCUUCUUCUUCUUCUUUAAUUUUUAGGUAAUAGUUUACGGUUACAAGUUGAUAGCUAGUUGGCUGACUUCUCUCCUUGUUAUUUCAGUUACAGGUUUAUUAUUUACCAUACUUACCUUGGCAUCAAAUUGAACUAUAGCGAACUAGAAUUUGUGCACUAUGAGUAUAGAUUAAUUGAGUUUGUUUGCUUUUUGUCGGUCAAGUUACUUGCGCUCUCCAACCAAUGGUAGCAGCAGCGUAAGGGUCUUCAUGGUCCAGUUGGGUUUCAUGUAGUCUUAUGAUAUUGGGAGUCAUAGGUUGCUUAAGGUUUUUUUUUUUUUUCUUUGUGUAGGUUAUUAUUUCUAGGGAGUUUCUAAGCGACUUUUGCUCUCUUUGUACAUGUUUAGUUUAUCAAACAUGUUAGUAAUGUAAAAAUUACUUCCAUUGAAUUAUAAAUUGUCAUUAUGAUGUAGUUCAUAUUAUU